GAUGAACGCUGGCGGCGUGCCUAAUACAUGCAAGUCGAGCGAACGGACGAGAAGCUUGCUUUUCUGAUGUUAGCGGCGGACGGGUGAGUAGCACGUGGAUAACCUACCUAUAAGACUGGGAUAACUUCGGGAAACCGGAGCUAAUACCGGAUAAUAUUUUGAACCGCAUGGUUCAAAAGUGAAAGACGGUCUUGCUGUCACUUAUAGAUGGAUCCGCGCUGCAUUAGCUAGUUGGUAAGGUAACGGCUUACCAAGGCAACGAUGCAUAGCCGACCUGAGAGGGUGAUCGGCCACACUGGAACUGAGACACGGUCCAGACUCCUACGGGAGGCAGCAGUAGGGAAUCUUCCGCAAUGGGCGAAAGCCUGACGGAGCAACGCCGCGUGAGUGAUGAAGGUCUUCGGAUCGUAAAACUCUGUUAUUAGGGAAGAACAUAUGUGUAAGUAACUGUGCACAUCUUGACGGUACCUAAUCAGAAAGCCACGGCUAACUACGUGCCAGCAGCCGCGGUAAUACGUAGGUGGCAAGCGUUAUCCGGAAUUAUUGGGCGUAAAGCGCGCGUAGGCGGUUUUUUAAGUCUGAUGUGAAAGCCCACGGCUCAACCGUGGAGGGUCAUUGGAAACUGGAAAACUUGAGUGCAGAAGAGGAAAGUGGAAUUCCAUGUGUAGCGGUGAAAUGCGCAGAGAUGUGGAGGAACACCAGUGGCGAAGGCGACUUUCUGGUCUGUAACUGACGCUGAUGUGCGAAAGCGUGGGGAUCAAACAGGAUUAGAUACCCUGGUAGUCCACGCCGUAAACGAUGAGUGCUAAGUGUUAGGGGGUUUCCGCCCCUUAGUGCUGCAGCUAACGCAUUAAGCACUCCGCCUGGGGAGUACGACCGCAAGGUUGAAACUCAAAGGAAUUGACGGGGGCCCGCACAAGCGGUGGAGCAUGUGGUUUAAUUCGAAGCAACGCGAAGAACCUUACCAAAUCUUGACAUCCUUUGACAACUCUAGAGAUAGAGCCUUCCCCUUCGGGGGACAAAGUGACAGGUGGUGCAUGGUUGUCGUCAGCUCGUGUCGUGAGAUGUUGGGUUAAGUCCCGCAACGAGCGCAACCCUUAAGCUUAGUUGCCAUCAUUAAGUUGGGCACUCUAAGUUGACUGCCGGUGACAAACCGGAGGAAGGUGGGGAUGACGUCAAAUCAUCAUGCCCCUUAUGAUUUGGGCUACACACGUGCUACAAUGGACAAUACAAAGGGCAGCGAAACCGCGAGGUCAAGCAAAUCCCAUAAAGUUGUUCUCAGUUCGGACUGUAGUCUGCAACUCGACUACAUGAAGCUGGAAUCGCUAGUAAUCGUAGAUCAGCAUGCUACGGUGAAUACGUUCCCGGGUCU
Molecule: ribosomal RNA, 1372 nt
Filed under: uncultured bacterium
Lineage: Bacteria
Description: bacterial SSU rRNA
Rfam family: Bacterial small subunit ribosomal RNA
Source: RNAcentral